UGUAAUCUCCGAAACGACCCACUCGUAUUCGUCAACACUUCCUUGAUCAUGUCGGGGUCGGAUACUGCCAGCCUGGCCCUGGACCCGAACCAGUAGAGGAAAUUCUUCCCGUACAUGCGGGACCACGUGUGGUAAAAUGGGGACGCGAGGUGAAGAUUGUCGUGGUCAAAAGGGCCCCGCUUUGAGAGAGCUUCCGCGAACAGACGGCGGAUCUCGGCGGAGUUCCCGAAGAUCGGACGGUAGGCGGGCCCCCGUAUGCCUUGCUGCCGGAAGUGAUGUUGCGUCCUCAGCGGGACCCAUAUCGUGGAGUUUACAAAUUUGGAGAGGAAGAAAAGUAGAGGAAGGAAAAGAACAGCGAGGAGGAGAAGGAAAUGCAUAAUCUCAGUGUAUCAUUUUUUUUUUUGAAAGAAUCUGAGUGUAUCAUUAGCAUAAAGAGAGAGUGAGAGAAGACGAAGACUUAUUGGUUCCUAAUACAUCAUGCAUGACGUACACCAACGUAAUCCUUUUUAACAAAAGGGUGUGACAUCCACACCCUAUUUUACUUCUCACAUAUUUUUUUAAUUUUCGAUCUUCGGAUCGGAUGAAUUUCAGAAGAUCAACGGACAUAAAUUAUCAAGUGAUAUGUGAAAAGUAAAAUAUGGUGUGUAGAUAGCACACCCCUUGAACAAAUUGUAAAACUAGCUUUGAGUUUUAACAAUAAGAACAAAAUAAAAUGUAAAGUGAAUAGUAUCAAGAUUGACUUUUUAGUGUAAAAAUGUAGUUUUUCAUUAAAUUGAACAAUAUCAGGAGUUUUUCGUUAAAGUUUCUAAAUAGGAUUUUUGAAGUGCUAAUAACAAUUCCAUUUAAUAAAAUCACUAAUGUUUUGGAAUUUAGAGUUAUGACUAUUUUAUUAUCGGAUAGUACUGUUUACAUAAUUAUUUUUUAUUUUUAACACACUUUUUUAAUUUUCAAUCAUCAACUUAAAUAAACUGAAAAAAAAAUUAAUAUAGCUUGCCCCCUUAUGCGUAUGAGAAGUAAAAAUAAAUCGGUGUAUGUACUACAUACUGCAUUCAUGGCAGUGUUGAAUAUCACAAAGAAACUUAUCCAAAAAAUGGGGCAAUUCAGUUAGUUACGAGCAUCCAUUCCUGCAUGCGAUCCUAAGUUCGACUCACUCUAAACCUCAACUGCCGCUUGAAAAAACAACUUGUUAGUUGGUAAUUCAAAAAAAAAAAAAAUUGAAAGAGGUCCAAUUUUAUAGCUCAUAUUUUGAAAUAGGUCGAAUUUUUAGUGAUUUUUUAUUUUUGAAAUAUGUCCAAUUUUUAGUCCAAUUGGACCUAUAUCAAAAGACCCCUAAAAAAAUUAGAUCGAUGCUAAGUAGUAGGGCUAGAAAUUUUUUUCCAGAAAUCCUAAACCAAAUAAAAAAAAAUUCGAUCCUAUACCGAAAUUUUUUCAAAUUUAUUAUAUUGAACCGAACCGAAAAAACAUGUAUAUUUAUUUUUGUUACAUGCAUGUUAAAUGUUGAAUUUAAGUAGUUUGAUGGUAGAUUAUAUUAGAAACAGAAGUAUGAAAUUAAGUAGGUUGAAACUUUGGAACAUCAAUUUGACUUGGUAUGAAUGAAUGAAUAUUUCAAUUGGUAUAGAAUUUCAAAUUAAUAUGAGAUAAAAAACACAAAUUUCAAUUGAUAUGAAAUUUGGAACAAAAUUUUAGGCCGAAAGCCUAAAUUUUGGCCCACAUUCAAAAAAUCUCAAAUUUUAUCCCAAAAGUCCAAAAGCCAAAAUCUAAUUCUGAUCAAUCCCGAAAUACUAAAAGUAUUUCAGGAAUCUUGAAAAUUGGGAAUACCAAAAUUUCGGUUUGGGAUUAGUCUUCAAAUUCCCGUCUCAAAAAUUUUCGGUUUGAGAUCCCAUACCGAACCACCUCUGCUAAGUAGUGUCACGGAUCGUUAAAAUACAUUACGAUGUAGAUCUCACAAAAAUGUGUCAAAACUUGUGUAAAAAAAUGAUGUCAUGAAUUUGCCUCCAAUAGAAUUAGAUAGAUAAAGAAUAGUAAUUUAUUACUCAUUUCUUAUAUCUUCUAUGCUUGACUUGCGCAGUUUCUUUUUAUUUCAAGUAAUUAGUGCGGAAAGAAAAUUCGAACUUAGUGUAAGAGAACGAUCAAAGUCACAAGUGAAAUUCAACUUACAGUCUUAACGUCACCGAAAAUAAGGGGAAAUUUCGUAGAAAAUACAAUCACAUAUGGUUACAAUAUGACUUUAGGAAUCUGUUUUCUAAAGCUUCAUUGUACAAUACCUAAUUAGAAUCUUCAAUUUGAAAUCCUGCUAAAGAGGAUUUGAGCGCCAUACCGUGGCUGCAAGGUUACGAACAACGUUGGGGCAUGAACAUAUGUUGGAGACACCGUGAAAGAAUAGCGCCGGAUGACGGUUGCUAACACAAGUUUCGCUUCAACAAGAGCCAAGUUUUGGCCUGCACAGAUUCUAGGACCCAGACCAAAUGGAAAGUACGAGGCUAAAUGGCUUCGAGGCUCGGAAAACCUCAGCGGGUUGAACUCGUUGGCAUCUUCUCCCCAUAUCUCAGUGUCGUGAUGGACCGCGGCCAAAGCCAAAUAAAGCUGUGUGUCUGCAGGAAUGUCCAGGCUCCCAAGCUUAACCUUCUUUGUUGCUUGCCUCAAAAUCACAACCGCCGGAGGAUACAGCCUAAGUGUUUCGUUAACGAUCAUGCUAACCUGUUCAAAACGGGAUAGAAAAUAAACAUGCAUGGGGAUGCAGCAAACUAAUUGUGCAAUUUAAGUACAAAAAUUAACUUUACAGAACUUACAAUUUUGAGGUCAUUCAAAUUAUCUGCAACCGGAAGCUUAUUGUCCCCCGACACGCGAAUUAUUUCUUCCCUAGCUUUGUCUUGCCAUUCCACAUGCUUUGCCAAGAGCAGAAGUGCCCAGCUCAGAAGAUUAGCAGUCGUUUCCUUUCCUGCAAAGUAGAAGGUCUUGCACUCAUCUACAACUGCCUCCAUCUCUAAUUUCUCCUCUUGUCCGUCCUGAUUCUUGUAAGGAGACAUCAACAGGCUAAGCAGAUUUGUCGAAUCUUCACUUCUUUUGCAGUUAUUUGCGAUCAACAUCCGUAUUGAUUCGUGAGUUUCCUUGUCGAGUCUCCACCUUUCUCGGUUAUUCUUGGUAGGCAAAAACCUGCAUUCAAAGGAAUUCAAUGAGUUUGGUAUCAGUCACAUUUCGCCCUUGAAAUUUGGAAGGAAAGUCACCUGAAUCCCGGAAUGUAGAUGCUCCUGACUGCCUUGGAGAACAGAUGCAUUUGUUGUUCUUGUAAGUCGAAAACACGCUUUCCCUCCUCAAAACUGGUUCCGAAAGCUGACCUUGAUAUCACGUCCGCUGAGAGCUCAUGAAGUUCUUUGUGCACAUCGAUUUCAAACUCAUCCCUCCCUCCUCUUACAUUCUCCCACUUGUCCAACAUCUUCAUGGUACUCCCCACAAUAUCUGGCACCCAACCCUGCAUCCCAGAAAGAACCCAACAACAACAUCAAAUAAAUCGUUUCCCAAAGCAUUUGAUUGAAAAAACUUGAAAGUGCUUUUAAAAGCACUUGCCAAAGUACCUCAAGAAUCACUUAUGAGCAAAAAAGCUUACGCUUAAUCUUGCAUAUUAUGAUAUAAAGGCUAAAGUAUCAUUAAGUUUCUUAUCCUAUAUCAUUAAGUUUAGUACAAAAUUCAGUUGUCCCGAUUUAACUCAUACAGCUACCAAUUAUUUCGAAACAUAAAACAUCUAAUUUACCCUCGCAUAUCUAAUUGUUUUAAAAAUACUAAAUUGUAAAAGUUAGUAAACCAAACUCGUUUGGAUUUAUUUUUAAAAUGAUUGAAAACGAUUUUGGUGAAAAUAUUUUUGAAACAAAUCCUUAGUAAAAAUGCAAGUAAAUUCUGGAAAAGCAUUUUAAGUGCUUUUGAAACUAAAAAACAUUUUCUUUAAAAACGCAUUCAGUCAUUUUAAAAGUACAUCCAAACGAAACUACAAAGACGGAACAAAACUACGACAACUAAAAAUAUGAUUGGGCCGAAUUUAUAAUAUGCCUAAAAUGAAAAGCCCAAUUUACGAAUCUCCGUUCAAUUAAGUGGGUUCAUAGAGUAAUUACCUUGACCCGGUCCAUUUUAAAGGCCUGGUUGACGAUCCUUCUACGACAAGCCCAUUCCUCUCCCUCAAGCCCAAUAAUUCCCUCUCCAAACAAAGUUUUGGUCAACGGGUUAAACGGUAAUCUCCGAAACGACCCACUCGUAUUCGUCAACACUUCCUUGAUCAUGUCGGGGUCGGAUACUGCCAGCCUGGCCCUGGACCCGAACCAGUAGAGGAAAUUCUUCCCGUACAUGCGGGACCACCUGUGGUAAAAUGGGGACGCGAGGUGAAGAUUGUCGUGGUCAAAAGGGCCCCGCUUUGAGAGAGCUUCCGCGAACAGACGGCGGAUCUCGGCGGAGUUCCCGAAGAUCGGACGGUAGGCGGGCCCCCGUAUGCCUUGCUUCCGGAAGUGAUGUUGCGUCCUCAGCGGGACCCAUAUCGUGG
Molecule: long non-coding RNA, 4525 nt
Filed under: Malus domestica (apple)
Lineage: Eukaryota; Viridiplantae; Streptophyta; Magnoliopsida; Rosales; Rosaceae
Description: long non-coding RNA (MDOM_LNC007237)
Source: RNAcentral